This 464-nucleotide ribosomal RNA is filed under the name uncultured bacterium. Its description in RNAcentral is "partial 16S ribosomal RNA". It matches the Rfam family "Bacterial small subunit ribosomal RNA", at positions 32 to 523 of the family's 1533-position model. The record is from RNAcentral.
AAUCAACGCUGGCGGCGUCCCUAACACAUGCAAGUCGAACGCGAAAGGGACUUCGGUCCUGUGUAGAGUGGCGUACGGGUGAGUAACACGUGGGUAAUCUACCUCCGAGUGGGGAAUAACUCAGGGAAACUUUAGCUAAUACCGCAUAAUGCAGCAAUGUUAAAGCAGCAAUGCGCUUGGAGAGGAGCCUGCGCCUGAUUAGGUAGUUGGUGAGGUAAUGGCUCACCAAGCCUGCGAUCAGUAGCUGGUCUGAGAGGACGGCCAGCCACAAUGGCAUUGAAACACGGGCCAUACUCCUACGGGAGGCAGCAGUGGGGAAUUUUGCGCAAUGGACGAAAGUCUGACGCAGCAACGCCGCGUGAAGGAUGAAAUCUCUCGGGAUGUAAACUUCGCUAGUGUGGGAAGAAAAAAAUGACGGUACCACAUGUAAGCCCCGGCUAACUCCGUGCCAGCCGCCGCCGUAA